This 764-nucleotide ribosomal RNA is filed under the name uncultured Bacteroidota bacterium. RNAcentral describes it as "bacterial SSU rRNA". It matches the Rfam family "Bacterial small subunit ribosomal RNA", at positions 71 to 829 of the family's 1533-position model. The record is from RNAcentral. Lineage: Bacteria; Pseudomonadati; Bacteroidota.
GAUUGAAGCUUGCUUCAAUUGCCGGCGACCGGCGCACGGGUGGGUAACGCGUAUCCAACCUUCCGUACACUCAGGGAUAGCCUUUCGAAAGAAGGAUUAAUACCUGAUGGUAUCUUAAGCACACAUGUAAUUAAGAUUAAAGAUUUAUCGGUGUACGAUGGGGAUGCGUUCCAUUAGGUAGUAGGCGGGGUAACGGCCCACCUAGCCAACGAUGGAUAGGGGUUCUGAGAGGAAGGUCCCCCACAUUGGAACUGAGACACGGUCCAAACUCCUACGGGAGGCAGCAGUGAGGAAUAUUGGUCAAUGGACGAGAGUCUGAACCAGCCAAGUAGCGUGAAGGAUGAAGGUUCUACGGAUUGUAAACUUCUUUUAUAAGGGAAUAAACCCUCCCACGUGUGGGAGCUUGUAUGUACCUUAUGAAUAAGCAUCGGCUAACUCCGUGCCAGCAGCCGCGGUAAUACGGAGGAUGCGAGCGUUAUCCGGAUUUAUUGGGUUUAAAGGGAGCGCAGACGGGUCGUUAAGUCAGCUGUGAAAGUUUGGGGCUCAACCUCAAAAUUGCAGUUGAUACUGGCGUCCUUGAGUGCGGUUGAGGUGUGCGGAAUUCGUGGUGUAGCGGUGAAAUGCUUAGAUAUCACGAAGAACUCCGAUUGCGAAGGCAGCACACUAAUCCGUAACUGACGUUCAUGCUCGAAAGUGUGGGUAUCAAACAGGAUUAGAUACCCUGGUAGUCCACAUUUUAAACGAGGGAUACUUUUUGUUGGCGA